This 779-nucleotide long non-coding RNA is filed under the name Homo sapiens (human). RNAcentral describes it as "HSALNT0040264". Lineage: Eukaryota; Metazoa; Chordata; Mammalia; Primates; Hominidae. The record is from RNAcentral.
CGCUUCUAGUAGGCCAAACUCCCAGGUGACCCCCGCAAGAAACGCGGUCCGGAGAGGGUCUGGCCCCACUGCUGGGGCAAGGGCUCUAGGCGCCCGGACCCCACGCCCGCAGCCUGCGGAGAACGUGCCGACAAGGACCUGUAGGGCCCCACUCCCCCUCCUCCCUCCCUCGGCGCAGCCCGGCCCAGGGGUCUGUCCUCCCAGGCCCAGGAAAGGAGGAAACCCACUUCCGCCGCGUCCAUGAUCUCCCGCGGCUUCUCCUGACUCUUGCGGCUGGCGCUGGCGCUGGGCAUCGGGACACGGAACUGGGCAGUGGACACCACCCUCCCUCGCAGGCUUCCAAAGUAAUUUGAAGGCCUUCCCUGACUUAAAGUGGAUGCUGCUUUGGAAAGCACUGGAAAAAUGGAUCCUGUCUUUCUUAGCCAAGGACUGGUCUCUUUUCUCCAAUGUGUCCCUAACAGAGUGGUGAGGCUGGCUCUUCCCACCAGUACAGGAAGAUCAUUCCUUAAAAGAAAUAGCCAUAUGGCUUAUAAGUGUUCUUUCCUGUAUGAAGCCCAAGCUGUCCACUUGGAGAGACAUCUGGCCAGCCCCCCGUUGUUCCAGCCAUCCCCAGUUCAGGCAUCAGACAUGUGGUGAAGAAGCCAUCCUAGAUGCCCAGCCCCAGCUACCAUCUGAUGCAACCACACUGCUCACCCCGAGCAAGAACUGCCUGCAGGAGCCUAGUAUUAUCCUCUCUCACAGAACCAUGGCAGGGAAUAAUAAAUUGUUGUUUGAAGCCA